GUCUAUGGCCAUACUACCCUGAACAAGCCCAAUGUCUGAUUUCGGAAGCUAAGCAGGGUCAGGCCUGGUUAGUACUUGGAUGGGAGACCACUUAGGAAGACCAGGCGCUGUAGGCA
This 116-nucleotide ribosomal RNA is filed under the name Pteropus alecto (black flying fox). The record is from RNAcentral. Lineage: Eukaryota; Metazoa; Chordata; Mammalia; Chiroptera; Pteropodidae.